AAAGGGUUUCUUCUUCAUUAUCAUCUUCAUCUUUCUUCUUUUCACAGGGAGUUAUGUGUCAGUAACAUCGCACAAGUUAUGUGCAGCACAGGCCUUCAGGUACGACCUGACGCCUUCAGGCAAUUCAUGAAGUUAAAAGUGCUUGCUUCUUCUGCCAAUACUGCUCGAAUCUCUGCCUUGCAUACUCCUUGUAGUCGAAGUCAAUAUCAUUGACAUGAUCCUGCAGAAGAUAGAGGUCAGAUAAUAGCACAGGUUUACAGUGACAGAAUGGAUUCAUAUAGUUCUUUUGAAAAAAGAAACAGGCAAUGGACAUCCAGAAAUAUGAACAUACCGAU
RNAcentral lists this long non-coding RNA (335 nucleotides) under Oryza sativa (Asian cultivated rice). Its description in RNAcentral is "long non-coding RNA (OSAT_LNC001344)". Lineage: Eukaryota; Viridiplantae; Streptophyta; Magnoliopsida; Poales; Poaceae. The record is from RNAcentral.